AGAGUUUGAUCAUGGCUCAGGAUGAACGCUAGCUACAGGCUUAACACAUGCAAGUCGAGGGGCAGCGAGAAGAAAGCUUGCUUUCUUUGUCGGCGACCGGCGCACGGGUGAGUAACGCGUAUCCAACCUUCCCUAUAGUAGAGAAUAGCCCGGCGAAAGUCGGAUUAAUGCUCUAUGUUGUAUUUUUGCGGACAUCUAACGAAUACCAAAGGUUUACCGCUAUAGGAUGGGGAUGCGUCUGAUUAGGUUGUUGGCGGGGUAACGGCCCACCAAGCCGUCGAUCAGUAGGGGUUCUGAGAGGAAGGUCCCCCACAUUGGAACUGAGACACGGUCCAAACUCCUACGGGAGACAGCAGUGAGGAAUAUUGGUCAAUGGACGGAAGUCUGAACCAGCCAAGUAGCGUGCAGGAUGACGGCCCUAUGGGUUGUAAACUGCUUUUAUACAGGGAUAAAGUCGGGGACGUGUUCCCGUUUGUAGGUACUGUAUGAAUAAGGACCGGCUAAUUCCGUGCCAGCAGCUGC
RNAcentral lists this ribosomal RNA (522 nucleotides) under uncultured bacterium. Its description in RNAcentral is "bacterial SSU rRNA". It matches the Rfam family "Bacterial small subunit ribosomal RNA", at positions 8 to 518 of the family's 1533-position model. The record is from RNAcentral.